AACGCCCUGUUGGCAGAGUAUAGGGCGCUUUCCCUGCCCGGUGAAAGUUUUUAACGGCUGCAGUAUUCUGACUGUACAAAGGUAGCAUAAUCAUUUGGCUCUUAAUUGGAGUCUGGAAUGAAGGGGUGCACGUGGCUCAUCUGUCUCCUUUCUCUUAAUAAAAUUUAUCUUCGGGAUGAAGAGAUCCCUAUAACCUAAAAAGACGAGAAGACCCCAAAGAGCUUUUUACUGGCUUGUAGUGCGUUACACAAAGUAUUUUGGUUGGGGCGACCUAGGUACAAACAAAGCUACCUUUUGAUAAAAUUUAGCCAAGGACCCCCUAUUAGGGUUUAUCUAGCGAUUAAAAGUUACCUUGGGGAUAACAGCAUAAUGUGGUAGAAGAGGCCUUAUCUAUUAUCACGUUUAUGACCUCGAUGUUGGACUAAGGUGUUUAGUCUCAUAGGUGCAGCAGCUUGUGGAGAUAGUCUGUUCGACUAUUAAAACCUU
RNAcentral lists this ribosomal RNA (486 nucleotides) under Caecum sp. 'invisibile'. RNAcentral describes it as "partial large subunit ribosomal RNA". It matches the Rfam family "Bacterial large subunit ribosomal RNA", at positions 1816 to 2597 of the family's 2925-position model. Lineage: Eukaryota; Metazoa; Mollusca; Gastropoda; Littorinimorpha; Caecidae. The record is from RNAcentral.